AAUGCUGACAUAAGUAACGAUAAAGCGGGUGAAAAGCCCGCUCGCCGGAAGACCAAGGGUUCCUGUCCAACGUUAAUCGGGGCAGGGUGAGUCGACCCCUAAGGCGAGGCCGAAAGGCGUAGUCGAUGGGAAACAGGUUAAUAUUCCUGUACUUGGUGUUACUGCGAAGGGGGGACGGAGAAGGCUAUGUUGGCCGGGCGACGGUUGUCCCGGUUUAAGCGUGUAGGCUGGUUUUCCAGGCAAAUCCGGAAAAUCAAGGCUGAGGCGUGAUGACGAGGCACUACGGUGCUGAAGCAACAAAUGCCCUGCUUCCAGGAAAAGCCUCUAAGCAUCAGGUAACAUCAAAUCGUACCCCAAACCGACACAGGUGGUCAGGUAGAGAAUACCAAGGCGCUUGAGAGAACUCGGGUGAAGGAACUAGGCAAAAUGGUGCCGUAACUUCGGGAGAAGGCACGCUGAUAUGUAGGUGAAGUCCCUCGCGGAUGGAGCUGAAAUCAGUCGAAGAUACCAGCUGGCUGCAACUGUUUAUUAAAAACACAGCACUGUGCAAACACGAAAGUGGACGUAUACGGUGUGACGCCUGCCCGGUGCCGGAAGGUUAAUUGAUGGGGUUAGCGCAAGCGAAGCUCUUGAUCGAAGCCCCGGUAAACGGCGGCCGUAACUAUAACGGUCCUAAGGUAGCGAAAUUCCUUGUCGGGUAAGUUCCGACCUGCACGAAUGGCGUAAUGAUGGCCAGGCUGUCUCCACCCGAGACUCAGUGAAAUUGAACUCGCUGUGAAGAUGCAGUGUACCCGCGGCAAGACGGAAAGACCCCGUGAACCUUUACUAUAGCUUGACACUGAACAUUGAGCCUUGAUGUGUAGGAUAGGUGGGAGGCUUUGAAGUGUGGACGCCAGUCUGCAUGGAGCCGACCUUGAAAUACCACCCUUUAAUGUUUGAUGUUCUAACGUUGACCCGUGAUCCGGGUUGCGGACAGUGUCUGGUGGGUAGUUUGACUGGGGCGGUCUCCUCCUAAAGAGUAACGGAGGAGCACGAAGGUUGGCUAAUCCUGGUCGGACAUCAGGAGGUUAGUGCAAUGGCAUAAGCCAGCUUGACUGCGAGCGUGACGGCGCGAGCAGGUGCGAAAGCAGGUCAUAGUGAUCCGGUGGUUCUGAAUGGAAGGGCCAUCGCUCAACGGAUAAAAGGUACUCCGGGGAUAACAGGCUGAUACCGCCCAAGAGUUCAUAUCGACGGCGGUGUUUGGCACCUCGAUGUCGGCUCAUCACAUCCUGGGGCUGAAGUAGGUCCCAAGGGUAUGGCUGUUCGCCAUUUAAAGUGGUACGCGAGCUGGGUUUAGAACGUCGUGAGACAGUUCGGUCCCUAUCUGCCGUGGGCGCUGGAGAACUGAGGGGGGCUGCUCCUAGUACGAGAGGACCGGAGUGGACGCAUCACUGGUGUUCGGGUUGUCAUGCCAAUGGCACUGCCCGGUAGCUAAAUGCGGAAGAGAUAAGUGCUGAAAGCAUCUAAGCACGAAACUUGCC
RNAcentral lists this ribosomal RNA (1520 nucleotides) under Escherichia coli. RNAcentral's name for it is "partial 23S ribosomal RNA". It matches the Rfam family "Bacterial large subunit ribosomal RNA", at positions 1293 to 2798 of the family's 2925-position model. Lineage: Bacteria; Pseudomonadati; Pseudomonadota; Gammaproteobacteria; Enterobacterales; Enterobacteriaceae. The record is from RNAcentral.